UCUCGGUGAUUUAGCCAUAUGUGACCCACCUCUUCCCAUUCCGAACAGAGAAGUGAAAUCAUAUGGCUCCAAUGAUAGUUGUGACUUUUAGUUACAGCGAAAGUAGGAUUCGCCGGGAU
Molecule: ribosomal RNA, 119 nt
Filed under: Candidatus Harrisonbacteria bacterium RIFCSPLOWO2_02_FULL_45_10c
Lineage: Bacteria; Candidatus Harrisoniibacteriota
Source: RNAcentral